CCCUUAGAUGUUCUGGGCUGCACGCGUGCUACAAUGGCGUUUCCAGCAAGUCUGCGAACCCGAGAGGGCCAGCGGAUCUUCGAAUUUGCGUCGUGAUCGGGACAGUCGAUUGCAAUUAUUUGACUCAAACGAGGAAUUCCUUGUAAUCGCGAUUCAUCAUAUCGCGCUGAAUACGUCCCUGCCCUUUGUACACACCGCCCGUCGCUCCUACCGAUUGAGCGAUCCGGUAAAUGUUUUGGAUUGGUGCCGGGGCGGCUAGCUGCCGGUCGCUACGAAAUUUUGUGAACCUUAUCGCUUAGAGGAAGGAAAAGUCGUAACA
RNAcentral lists this ribosomal RNA (319 nucleotides) under uncultured eukaryote. RNAcentral's name for it is "partial 18S ribosomal RNA". It matches the Rfam family "Eukaryotic small subunit ribosomal RNA", at positions 1470 to 1796 of the family's 1831-position model. The record is from RNAcentral.